CGGCGUUGCCAACGUGGACAUCGCACCCUCUCUCUGGUGUAUAAAAGGCUGGGAAUGCCCUCACUUCCUUGCAUUUGUGAGCCGGUAUUAACAGGUUACUUCGAUCUGUGGCUGUUUUUUGGCGAGCUGGGGAGGAAAACUAAAACCCACAUGGCUUUCACACACGUGGUGGGCGUCGCUUUGGUGCUGGCGUGGGCGACGGGGCUCUGCUGGGGACACGAGAAUAUACAGGAAGCAUCGCCGCCUGCCGUCCCUCCCCAGCAUAUAAAGGAGAUGUUCUUUCCCCCUCACGAAAUGCGUUACCUUCAAGCUGCAAGAUUGGCCAAGCUUAGGGGAGGAGAGUGGAUGCUUACCGAUGACAGGAGGAAGGAAGAGAUGGAGGAGGAGGAAGAGUAUCCAUCACUCCCCGUGGUUCCUCCCUUUGCUCCCGUUCCUCCUGCCCUCAUCCCCCACAUGGGCCCAGGGAGGGGAGUGCACGACACUGCUUUAUCCCAGGACCUGAAAGAGGAUGCUUGAGUGACCGCGCGUGUGGCAUCAAGUGCCUUUUAGGCGGUUUAAUUCCUGCUUGUGUGGUGACUUUGUAGAUGAAGUUACCCGUGACGGCCGCAUGAUUAUGAUAAACUGGUAAACUUUUUUUUUUUUUUUUUUUUUUGAGUCGUUGGUGUUCCUGAGGUUGUUUAUUUGUUGUUGUUGUUGUUGUUGUAUUCUUCCUCUUUUUUUCUGCUUCCUCUUCUUCUUCUUCUUAUUAUUAUUAUUAUUAUUACUAUUAUUAUUAUUAUUAUAUAUUAUUAUUAUUAUUAUUAUUAUUAUUAUUAUUAUUAUUAUUAUUAUUAUUAUUAUUAUUAUUAUUAUUAUUAUUAUUAUUAUUUUCAUUAUGAUUAUUUUUAUUAUUAUUACAUUCGGACAUCGCCUCAUCUCCUUCCUACUUUUAAGGCAGAAAAAGCAACAUAACCAACUAUAAUCUCACAAAAUAAAACUGAACUAUCUUCUAAAAUGUAAAAUAGCAACAAAUAAAAGUUAACAACGGCUGGUGGUCUGUGUUCAUCGUCGUUAAUUAAGAUAGAAAAUCCUGGAAUGACGGAACAGCCAUGAACAACAUCGAGUACUCAUCUGUGAACAUACAUUGUGAACAUCUCUCAUCUCUGCCUAUCCUUGUACCCAGGCACCUCUGCUCAUGAUAUUCCCGGUUCAUUCACCUCCCGAGCCGGUAAGUGGGAAACUCGAGCGGUCGGUCACAAUAAAACCAUUUCCCUGUUGGCUGCUGGUCUUGUCCCUGACUCGGCCCGGGCCUGCUGAGGGACACGUGGAGAUCCUGCUGUGCAGCCUCCGGGGGCCUGACCUGUUUUGAAGGCCCCUGUCAGGAUAACUCGACGUCCAUUUUCUCUUCUGUUGUAUUUAAAGACUUGACUGUAGAAGGAAAUUGUGAGCUAGAUCUUGAGUCUUGUAGAAGGAAAUUGUGUGCUAGGUAGAUAUUGAGUUUUAUAGAAGGAAUUUAUGGGCUAGGUAGAUCUUGAAAUUAUGUGUUAGCUAGAUCUUGAGUCUUGUAGAAGGAAAUUGUGUGCUAGGUAGAUAUUGAGUUUUAUAGAAGGAAUUUAUGGGCUAGGUAGAUCUUGAAAUUAUGAGUUAGGUAGAUAUUUAGUCUUGUAGAAGGAAAUUGUGUUAGGUAGAUUUUAAGUCUUGUAGAAGGAAUUUAUAGGCUAGGUAGAUCUUGAAAUUGUACUAGUUAGAUAUCAAGUCUUGUAGAAGGAAAUCAUAUUCUAGAUUUUUAUGAGAAAAAAAAUACAACAUAAACUAUACAGAUUAAAAUAGCUGUCGAGACUUUCAUUCUAAUUUUGUAUGCAGCCGCGUGAUUUAUGUACCUGUGUGGUCUUAAUUGUGUUUUUUUAACCGUGGUUCAAAGACUAUCACACCGAUCAAGCCAGUGAGAAAAAAAUACCACAUAAGCUACUGGAAAAGAUAAUAUUCGCCUCAUAUUAUUUUCAUUUUAAUUUUGUAUGCUGGUGCGUGUUUUAUGUUCUUCGUUGAUCUUGUUUUUAGUCUUUUAGCCGUGAUUAAAAAUAUAUCAUACCGAUCAAUUCAGUGAAAAACAGAGACAGGCAGUUUUCAGUUUGUUUCAAAAUAUGUAUUGAUGCAGUAAAGAAAGUAGGCUACAUCAAAGGGUGCAGUUAGCAUGCUCAUACUCCCACUCAACUGACUCAUAAAUACCUUACAAAAGAAUAAAUCAGAACCUACAAGCAAAGUUUUAAUGAUAUGUUUCUUGUAUCAUUGCAAAUCACAUUAUGUUUUCCCUGGGGGUUGGGAUGGCAUGUUCCUCCCUUAAUCUCAUUACUGUGUACUUAUGCAGCAAUAAACCAUCAAUCAAUCAAUGAAAAAUAAAGAUGUUCUCCCAACCAU
This is a long non-coding RNA of Eriocheir sinensis (Chinese mitten crab), 2394 nucleotides long. RefSeq lists it as uncharacterized. NCBI's taxonomy places the organism in Eukaryota, Metazoa, Arthropoda, Malacostraca, Decapoda, Varunidae. The record is from RefSeq and is a predicted model, not a curated record. The transcript is spliced from 4 exons.